RNAcentral lists this transfer RNA (20 nucleotides) under Linum usitatissimum (flax). RNAcentral describes it as "partial tRNA-Leu". Lineage: Eukaryota; Viridiplantae; Streptophyta; Magnoliopsida; Malpighiales; Linaceae. The record is from RNAcentral.
AAAUCCCUUCUCUAUCCCCA